GAUACAGAACGCUCUCACAUAGACGGUGAUGAGAUUCCUACAGUCCUCUGCUGAUGGAUGCUUUUGGGGGGACUGUGAGCAAACAGCUGAUUGCAUUAAGAGGCUACAGCAGAACUGCCUGGAGAAUUGGGAUAGCACCGCUGAGUUCACCAGCUGCCCUGUCUUCUGUGGAGAAUGGAGCAUCUGUGCAACAAGGAGUUGGGCUUUCAGGGCUCAAUCCAGUAAGCGAUUCUUCCAGGCCCUGAUUUUACUCCCUCUGUAA
This 262-nucleotide long non-coding RNA is filed under the name Struthio camelus australis. RNAcentral describes it as "lncRNA (ENSSCUG00000015341.1)". Lineage: Eukaryota; Metazoa; Chordata; Aves; Struthioniformes; Struthionidae. The record is from RNAcentral.